AUAUUGCACAAUGGUGGAAACCCUGAUGCAGCGACGCCGCGUGGAGGAAGAAGGUCUUCGGAUUGUAAACUCCUGUCCCAGGGGACGAUAAUGACGGUACCCUGGGAGGAAGCACCGGCUAACUACGUGCCAGCAGCCGCGGUAAAACGUAGGGUGCAAGCGUUGUCCGGAAUUACUGGGUGUAAAGGGAGCGCAGGCGGAUUGGCAAGUUGGGAGUGAAAUCUAUGGGCUCAACCCAUAAAUUGCUUUCAAAACUGUCAGUCUUGAGUGGUGUAGAGGUAGGCGGAAUUCCCGGUGUAGCGGUGGAAUGCGUAGAUAUCGGGAGGAACACCAGUGGCGAAGGCGGCCUACUGGGCACUAACUGACGCUGAGGCUCGAAAGCAUGGGUAGCAAACAGG
RNAcentral lists this ribosomal RNA (398 nucleotides) under uncultured bacterium. RNAcentral describes it as "bacterial SSU rRNA". It matches the Rfam family "Bacterial small subunit ribosomal RNA", at positions 361 to 776 of the family's 1533-position model. The record is from RNAcentral.